AGUGAACGCUGGCGGUAGGCCUAACACAUGCAAGUCGAACGGCAGCACAGUAAGAGCUUGCUCUUACUGGUGGCGAGUGGCGGACGGGUGAGGAAUACAUCGGAAUCUACUUUUUCGUGGGGGAUAACGUAGGGAAACUUACGCUAAUACCGCAUACGACCUACGGGUGAAAGCAGGGGAUCUUCGGACCUUGCGCGAUUGAAUGAGCCGAUGUCGGAUUAGCUAGUUGGCGGGGUAAAGGCCCACCAAGGCGACGAUCCGUAGCUGGUCUGAGAGGAUGAUCAGCCACACUGGAACUGAGACACGGUCCAGACUCCUAAGGGAGGCAGCAGUGGGGAAUAUUGGACAAUGGGCGCAAGCCUGAUCCAGCCAUACCGCGUGGGUGAAGAAGGCCUUCGGGUUGUAAAGCCCUUUUGUUGGGAAAGAAAAGCAGCAGGUUAAUACCCCGCUGUCCUGACGGUACCCAAAGAAUAAGCACCGGCUAACUUCGUG
RNAcentral lists this ribosomal RNA (492 nucleotides) under uncultured bacterium. RNAcentral describes it as "partial 16S ribosomal RNA". It matches the Rfam family "Bacterial small subunit ribosomal RNA", at positions 29 to 507 of the family's 1533-position model. The record is from RNAcentral.